This 441-nucleotide ribosomal RNA is filed under the name uncultured bacterium. Its description in RNAcentral is "bacterial SSU rRNA". It matches the Rfam family "Bacterial small subunit ribosomal RNA", at positions 355 to 787 of the family's 1533-position model. The record is from RNAcentral.
UGGGGAAUAUUGGACAAUGGGCGAAAGCCUGAUCCAGCCAUGCCGCGUGUGUGAAGAAGGUCUUCGGAUUGUAAAGCACUUUAAGUUGGGAGGAAGGGCAGUUACCUAAUACGUGAUUGUUUUGACGUUACCGACAGAAUAAGCACCGGCUAACUCUGUGCCAGCAGCCGCGGUAAUACAGAGGGUGCAAGCGUUAAUCGGAAUUACUGGGCGUAAAGCGCGCGUAGGUGGUUAGUUAAGUUGGAUGUGAAAUCCCCGGGCUCAACCUGGGAACUGCAUUCAAAACUGUACUGACUAGAGUAUGGUAGAGGGUGGUGGAAUUUCCUGUGUAGCGGUGAAAUGCGUAGAUAUAGGAAGGAACACCAGUGGCGAAGGCGACCACCUGGACUGAUACUGACACUGAGGUGCGAAAGCGUGGGGAGCAAACAGGAUUAGAUACCC